UAAUACGGAGGGGGCUAGCGUUGUUCGGAAUUACUGGGCGUAAAGCGCACGUAGGCGGAUUGGAAAGUUGGGGGUGAAAUCCCGGGGCUCAACCCCGGAACUGCCUUCAAAACUCCCAGUCUGGAGGUCGAGAGAGGUGAGUGGAAUUCCGAGUGUAGAGGUGAAAUUCGUAGAUAUUCGGAGGAACACCAGUGGCGAAGGCGGCUCACUGGCUCGAUACUGACGCUGAGGUGCGAAAGCGUGGGGAGCAAACAGG
This 256-nucleotide ribosomal RNA is filed under the name uncultured bacterium. RNAcentral's name for it is "partial 16S ribosomal RNA". It matches the Rfam family "Bacterial small subunit ribosomal RNA", at positions 521 to 776 of the family's 1533-position model. The record is from RNAcentral.